GGCAUGUGCUUUGAUGUCUUCACAGUGUGGCUUUGCGUGGCCUGCAAGGCCAUAGUGCGGAGAGAAUGGCCCAGCUUCCUUUGCCCAGGACUGAUGGCACCUGAAACAGUGAGGCUCGAGUGAAGUUCCUUGGUGUUGGUGACCUGCAGGAGAAGGCCUGAGGCCCAAGUGUGGCUUUGCGUGGCCUGCAAGGCCAUAGUGCGGAGAGAAUGGCCCAGCUUCCUUUGCCCAGGACUGAUGGCACCUGAAACAGUGAGGCUCGAGUGAAGUUCCUUGGUGUUGGUGACCUGCAGGAGAAGGCCUGAGGCCCAAGUGUGGCUUUGCGUGGCCUGCAAGGCCAUAGUGCGGAGAGAAUGGCCCAGCUUCCUUUGCCCAGGACUGAUGGCACCUGAAACAGUGAGGCUCGAGUGAAGUUCCUUGGUGUUGGUGACCUGCAGGAGAAGGCCUGAGGCCCAAGUGUGGCUUUGCGUGGCCUGCAAGGCCAUAGUGCGGAGAGAAUGGCCCAGCUUCCUUUGCCCAGGACUGAUGGCACCUGAAACAGUGAGGCUCGAGUGAAGUUCCUUGGUGUUGGUGACCUGCAGGAGAAGGCCUGAGGCCCAAGUGUGGCUUUGCGUGGCCUGCAAGGCCAUAGUGCGGAGAGAAUGGCCCAGCUUCCUUUGCCCAGGACUGAUGGCACCUGAAACAGUGAGGCUCGAGUGAAGUUCCUUGGUGUUGGUGACCUGCAGGAGAAGGCCUGAGGCCCAAGUGUGGCUUUGCGUGGCCUGCAAGGCCAUAGUGCGGAGAGAAUGGCCCAGCUUCCUUUGCCCAGGACUGAUGGCACCUGAAACAGUGAGGCUCGAGUGAAGUUCCUUGGUGUUGGUGACCUGCAGGAGAAGGCCUGAGGCCCAAG
Molecule: long non-coding RNA, 889 nt
Organism: Peromyscus leucopus (white-footed mouse)
Lineage: Eukaryota; Metazoa; Chordata; Mammalia; Rodentia; Cricetidae
Exons: 6
Source: RefSeq, a predicted model, not a curated record